RNAcentral lists this ribosomal RNA (497 nucleotides) under uncultured bacterium. RNAcentral describes it as "partial 16S ribosomal RNA". It matches the Rfam family "Bacterial small subunit ribosomal RNA", at positions 28 to 507 of the family's 1533-position model. The record is from RNAcentral.
GAUGAACGCUGGCGGCGUGCCUAAUACAUGCAAGUCGAGCGAACAGACGAGGAGCUUGCUCCUCUGACGUUAGCGGCGGACGGGUGAGUAACACGUGGAUAACCUACCUAUAAGACUGGGAUAACUUCGGGAAACCGGAGCUAAUACCGGAUAAUAUAUUGAACCGCAUGGUUCAAUAGUGAAAGACGGUUUUGCUGUCACUUAUAGAUGGAUCCGCGCCGCAUUAGCUAGUUGGUAAGGUAACGGCUUACCAAGGCAACGAUGCGUAGCCGACCUGAGAGGGUGAUCGGCCACACCGGAACCGAGACACGGUCCAGACUCCUACGGGAGGCAGCAGUAGGGAAUCUUCCGCAAUGGGCGAAAGCUUGACGGAGCAACGCCGCGUGAGUGAUGAAGGUCUUCGGAUCGUAAAACUCUGUUAUUAGGGAAGAACAAAUGUGUAAGUAACUAUGCACGUCUUGACGGUACCUAAUCAGAAAGCCACGGCUAACUACGUG